Mus pahari (shrew mouse) is the source of this 867-nucleotide long non-coding RNA. RefSeq lists it as uncharacterized. The record is from RefSeq and is a predicted model, not a curated record. NCBI's taxonomy places the organism in Eukaryota, Metazoa, Chordata, Mammalia, Rodentia, Muridae. The transcript has 4 exons.
AAGAGGAUGGCGAGGAGCCCCGCAGAGAGGGUGCGGGCGCCGGCUACCUGAAGGAGCCUUUGUUCGGCCGGGCGCCGGGAGCGCAUUCUUUCACACCAGUAACGGCGGGAGAAGACGUUCAUUCAGUCCGCUUUCUUGGUGACGUAGUUGGGGCAUUCAUGUGUUUUUAACCUUGAAUAAUUUUUGUCUCUAAGCUCCAAACAAGCCUUAUCCUGUCCACAGGGGCGCAAAGCCCGGCCAUGGCCGGUAGCAAUCCACAGCAUAUCUAAGAAAAGCAAGCGUGGGCUCUCCGGGGAAUGGCAGGGUUGGUGGGAAUCCAACGCUCUUGCUGCCCUGCGCUGCACACCGGAGCUGGGAAUAGAAUCAGGGUUGGAUACAGAUGAGAAGGUGCAGUUCUGUCCCUUGUCCGUGGAAGCAAGGAGAUCUAUCAAGUCUGGUACAACUGAAGCUGUGUGCAGUUGGAAAAUUUGAAUGGACACAAUGAAGCCGAUCAAUCAGCAUAAACCACAGGAAGCGGCUGCAUCUCUUAGAUCCCAUCCCAGCUUCCAGGGUGGUAGCUCCAAAGUCUUCAUGUCCUACUGGGCCAGCGCCCUCCGUGAGAAACAUAUCAGUCCUUUCUUCUUUGCCUCCUGCUGUCCCCAACCCUACCACCAAGGAGCCAGCUUGAGAAACAUGGCCUGAUGCUAAAAUCAAAAGGAAUGGGAGCCAACUUCCCUGCGUAGACAGUGGAGGGCCCAUAUUUCUAUUCUGCCUGACCAUUGUGGACAGGAAUUACUCACUUACCUGAACACAACAGCGACAAUCUUUCUGAUUAAAAACAGAAAAGAAUCAGAAAAAGAAAUGAAAAAUAAAUCAGAAUUAUUUCCU